AUGGAUGGCCUUAGUGAUGGUGUGAAUCAUGCAGCAAGUUGUGAAGGAAAACAAGAGAUGAAGGAUACACCUAUCCCUGAAAGCAUUGGAGCCGGAGGAGAUGUAUUUUCUAUUCCGGUGUGCGAAGUCCCUGUUGUUGACGGAGCACGUGCAUCGAACAAGGACGCGAAGCCAGCUGUUGUUUCUGAAUUCCCGAAGGAUGCUGUAGUUGUGGACUCCCACCAGGGUGGUGAUGCUCAUGCUAGUGUAGCAGGCCCCAAGGAUGCAGGUGGUUUAAAUGUGUCUCAUGUGAUAGAUAAAUCAAAUGUUGAUAGUGGUGCAUCUGCUCCCGCCACACUUUCUGGGAUUCCUGUACAAGUACCUGAGGGGUUUGCUACGAAGUUGAAAGAUAUAAUUUCAAAAGCUGCGUUCCGUGGUAAUUACAGUACUGAGCCCCAGCCUAAAGUUGAACCCAACGUUGAUGAAGUUGGUGCCGAUGGUGCUUCCGAGGAGACAGAUAGUGAUGAAUUGGGAUUGUCAGUAAAUGAGAUAGAUUCAUCUCAAACAGUCUCCAGUUUUACGCAAACCCCGGCUACACCGGAAGCGGUGCAACGCAUGAAGGACUUAUACUUUGCUGUUAUGAGGUUAAGGACAAACAAGAAUAAAAAGGAUGAGGUACUGUUUGAGAAUGCGUUUUGCAAAGCAACUGUUAAGCAGGUUGCUGAGUCUUUCAGAGUUGGUGGCAUGCUGAACACUGCGGUUGCUAUUGUAGGAUUUUUUUUCUUCUUCAUUCGAAAUACCAAAAUUAUUCUAAGAUGGUGGCUCCAUUUCAUAUUUCGCAAUCUAUCUAGAAGGGGUCCUUUGAUAAUAGGCACUGGAUCAGGUUUUCCUCUGCCUAUGCCGAUGAGCCGCUGGAUAAGAAAGACAUUGUACUAUUUGGUGUCUUUGACCCUCCAGCUACCAAGGAAGGUGCGGGGCACUAUUGUGGUGUUGCGUUAA
Molecule: ribosomal RNA, 978 nt
Filed under: Triticum aestivum (bread wheat)
Lineage: Eukaryota; Viridiplantae; Streptophyta; Magnoliopsida; Poales; Poaceae
Description: partial small subunit ribosomal RNA
Source: RNAcentral